UUAAUUUUAAUAUCGUAUUUCAGCUGCGUUUAUACUGCUUGGUGCGCAUUCGCUGCGUUAUAUUAAUUUAUAUGCCUAUCAGACCAGAGGCAAAAAAGCACAGCCACAUACCAAAUUUAAGCAAUCGUGAGAUUAUAUACAUGGAAAGAAUAUGGAAAUUUUGUUAAAAGCACCCCGUAUAAUGACGAAAGCACCGCGCAUAAUGCUCGAAUCACUGCGUAUAAUGGGCGAACGCACCGCGUAUAUUGGCGAAAGCACCACGUAAAAUGC
Molecule: non-coding RNA, 270 nt
Organism: Paramuricea clavata
Lineage: Eukaryota; Metazoa; Cnidaria; Anthozoa; Malacalcyonacea; Plexauridae
Source: the annotation of a GenBank genome assembly